RNAcentral lists this long non-coding RNA (1050 nucleotides) under Bos indicus x Bos taurus (hybrid cattle). RNAcentral describes it as "lncRNA (ENSBIXG00000024516.1)". The record is from RNAcentral. Lineage: Eukaryota; Metazoa; Chordata; Mammalia; Artiodactyla; Bovidae.
AUGUGCACGUGUGUGUGUGCUCAUAUACAUGUGCGUGUGUGCAUGUGUGCUCGAGUCUGUGCGUGUGUACUCGUGUGUAUGCCCAUGCGACAGUGUGAGCAGGUGGAGAAGCAGCAGGAGAGGUGGGUGGAAGGGCCCUGGGGCAGCGUCGGGGAGGGCGGGGGAGGCGCCAGAGAAAGUCGGGGCACAGAGCUAGGGAUGAGUCACAGAGCAGGUGGGACUGGCCCGUGUGGACCCCAGCUGGGGCUGACUGGCUGUCGUGGUCAGUCAAGCUGCUUAGCACUGGAGGAGGUGUCACUGAGGCCUGGAGGCUCAUGGGCACCAGAGCAGCUGCUGACCCUGCAGCCACGUGUGCUGCUUUGGCCCACAGGCCAGGGCUGGGUUCCAGCCCCUGUUUGUCCCUCAGCCGAGGGCCCUUGUGCAGUGCACAACAUACCCAACUGCACUCGGGUGGUGGAAAGCCAAGGCACCUGGCCUGCCGCUCACAAGGCUGAGCUGCAGCUGGUCAGGCACAGGAAGGCGGCCGAGAGCUGGUGGCACCCAGUCCCGCCAGCUGCCCAGGCUCAGGACACGGGGUCCCAUCUAGCCAUGAGGGCCGAGGGGAAGCCAAGGGCAGAGUCCACGGUCCAGCUCACUGAGAGAAGCUGGGCAUCUGGGUUUGUAACAAGCAUCGCAAGAGAGUCAAUGUACACGUCCAGAGAGACAUCCGACCUCAGGCUUGGUGGGAACACGGGCAGAGAGCGAGAGAGACGGGGCACGCCCCUGGGAACACGGGGCAGAGAGCGAGAGAGACGGGGCACGCCCCUGGGAACACGGGCAGAGGGCGAGAGAGACGGGGCACGCCCCUGGGAACACGGGCAGAGGGCGAGAGAGACGGGGCACGCCCCUGGGAACACGGGCAGAGGGCGAGAGAGACGGGGCACGCCCCUGGGAACACGGGCAGAGGGCGAGAGAGACGGGGCACGCCCCCGGGUUGCACUCUGCCCCCGUCACCCCCUCCAUGCGGCCACCUUUGCAAACCACUCCCAGUUCUAUUGUGGAACAAGAUAA